GAAAAGAAACAUGGCCGUGCCGCAGUCCGAUGAUGAAAUCGUCUUGCGGCGAGGAAAAGUCCGGGCUCCGCCGGAAAGAAUGCCGGGCAAUAACCGGGGGAUUUCAAGAGAAUCGCUUUGCGAGAAUUUUGAAAUCCACAGAGAGCGCAACAGAAAGCAUACUGCCCGUUUAUGCGGGCGAUGGUGAAAAGGCGUGGUAAGAGCACACCGGCCGCUCGGCAACGUGCGGCGCAUUGCAAACCUCAUUUGGAGCAAGGUCAAGAAGCGGCGGCAUUUCCGGGUCUUGCCGCGGGUAGACCGCUAAAAUUUUCGGGCGACCGGAAAUUCAGAUAGAUGGCCAUUGGCGGAAUUCCGCCAGCCAGAACCCGGCUUACCGUUUCUUUUCCGUU
RNAcentral lists this RNase P RNA (389 nucleotides) under Treponemataceae bacterium. RNAcentral's name for it is "RNase P RNA component class A". It matches the Rfam family "Bacterial RNase P class A". Rfam says of the family: Ribonuclease P (RNase P) is a ubiquitous endoribonuclease, found in archaea, bacteria and eukarya as well as chloroplasts and mitochondria. Its best characterised activity is the generation of mature 5'-ends of tRNAs by cleaving the 5'-leader elements of precursor-tRNAs. Lineage: Bacteria; Pseudomonadati; Spirochaetota; Spirochaetia; Treponematales; Treponemataceae. The record is from RNAcentral.